GGUGGUGCAUGGUUGUCGUCAGCUCGUGUCGUGAGAUGUUGGGUUAAGUCCCGCAACGAGCGCAACCCUUAUUACUAGUUGCCAGCAUUAAGUUGGGCACUCUAGUGAGACUGCCGGUGACAAACCGGAGGAAGGUGGGGACGACGUCAAAUCAUCAUGCCCCUUAUGACCUGGGCUACACACGUGCUACAAUGGAUGGUACAACGAGUCGCGAGACCGCGAGGUUAAGCUAAUCUCUUAAAACCAUUCUCAGUUCGGACUGUAGGCUGCAACUCGCCUACACGAAGUCGGAAUCGCUAGUAAUCGCGGAUCAGCAUGCCGCGGUGAAUACGUUCCCGGGCCUUGUACAC
Molecule: ribosomal RNA, 350 nt
Filed under: uncultured Pediococcus sp.
Lineage: Bacteria; Bacillati; Bacillota; Bacilli; Lactobacillales; Lactobacillaceae
Description: bacterial SSU rRNA
Rfam family: Bacterial small subunit ribosomal RNA
Source: RNAcentral